This 254-nucleotide ribosomal RNA is filed under the name uncultured bacterium. RNAcentral describes it as "partial 16S ribosomal RNA". It matches the Rfam family "Bacterial small subunit ribosomal RNA", at positions 524 to 776 of the family's 1533-position model. The record is from RNAcentral.
UACGUAGGGGGCAAGCGUUGUCCGGAAUUACUGGGCGUAAAGGGCUCGUAGGCGGCCCACUAAGUCCGACGUGAAAUCCCCAGGCUUAACUUGGGAACUGCGUCGGAUACUGGUGGGCUUGAAUCCGGGAGAGGGAUGCGGAAUUCCAGGUGUAGCGGUGAAAUGCGUAGAUAUCUGGAGGAACACCGGUGGCGAAGGCGGCAUCCUGGACCGGCAUUGACGCUGAGUGAGCGAAAGCCAGGGGAGCAAACGGG